GACGAACGCUGGCGGCGUGCUUAACACAUGCAAGUCGUACGGUAAGGCCCUUUCGGGGGUACACGAGUGGCGAACGGGUGAGUAACACGUGAGUAACCUGCCCACAACUUUGGGAUAACGCUAGUAAACUGGUGCUAAUACUGGAUAUGUGCUCCUGCUGCAUGGUGGGGGUUGGAAAGCUCCGGCGGGUGUGGAUGGACUCGCGGCCUAUCAGCUUGUUGGUGGGGUAGUGGCCUACCAAGGCGGCGACGGGUAGCCGGCCUGAGAGGGUGACCGGACACAUUGGGAGUGAGAUACGGCCCAGACUCCUACGGGAGGAAGAAGUGGGGAAUAUUGCACAAUGGGCGCAAGCCUGAUGCAGCAACGACGCGUGCGGGAUGACGGCCUUCGGGUUGUAAACCGCUUUCAGCAGGGACGAAGCUUUUUGUGACGGUACCUGAAGAAGAAGCACCGGCUAACUACGUG
This 465-nucleotide ribosomal RNA is filed under the name uncultured bacterium. Its description in RNAcentral is "partial 16S ribosomal RNA". It matches the Rfam family "Bacterial small subunit ribosomal RNA", at positions 28 to 507 of the family's 1533-position model. The record is from RNAcentral.